AGAACGAACGCUGGCGGCAUGCCUAGUACAUGCAAGUCGAACGAACUCUUCGGAGUUAGUGGCGCACGGGUGCGUAACGCGUGGGAAUCUGCCCCUUGGUUCGGAAUAACAGUUGGAAACGACUGCUAAUACCGGAUGAUGACGAAAGUCCAAAGAUUUAUCGCCAAGGGAUGAGCCCGCGUAGGAUUAGCUAGUUGGUGAGGUAAAGGCUCACCAAGGCAACGAUCCUUAGCUGGUCUGAGAGGAUGAUCAGCCACACUGGGACUGAGACACGGCCCAGACUCCUACGGGAGGCAGCAGUAGGGAAUAUGGACAAUGGGCGAAAGCCUGAUCCAGCAAUGCCGCGUGAGUGAUGAAGGCCUUAGGGUUGUAAAGCUCUUUUACCCGAGAUGAUAAUGACAGUAUCGGAGAAUAAGCCCCGGACUAACUCCGCGCCAGCAGCCGAC
RNAcentral lists this ribosomal RNA (446 nucleotides) under uncultured soil bacterium. RNAcentral's name for it is "bacterial SSU rRNA". It matches the Rfam family "Bacterial small subunit ribosomal RNA", at positions 26 to 518 of the family's 1533-position model. The record is from RNAcentral.